RNAcentral lists this long non-coding RNA (2114 nucleotides) under Chinchilla lanigera (long-tailed chinchilla). RNAcentral describes it as "lncRNA (ENSCLAG00000025811.1)". The record is from RNAcentral. Lineage: Eukaryota; Metazoa; Chordata; Mammalia; Rodentia; Chinchillidae.
AUGUACCAUGAUGAUCUCAAGAGCGGUGUCACCCCUCACUGUACAGGGCAGCUGGAGCCCAUGACUAGAGCUUCAGAAAAACAUAAGGAAAAUUACCUUGGGUCUGAGAACCUCAGACAGGCUUGGAGGAGUGAGCCUUGCACAUCUGAGGAAGGAGGAGGCUCUAGGACAAGGAUGACUUGGCAAGCGUUGUUUGGACAGGAUUUUCCACUUCCCACCCAAGGACACUUUAGGUUGGUUGGAGAACUACUGCUCAAUCCCAGCAACCUGUACCUGCAGUUGGAUUACUGUUCUCUUUCUGGCCAUCCCCUCUUGCUGCCCUCUACCCUCCACCCCCAGCUUGGCCAUUGCAGAUCACCUCCACAAGGGAAGCACCUGAUGCUCGCCCCUGGUCACAGAGAUUGGUGCAGGCCAAUGAGCUUCAAGGAGACAUCACUGGGGAUUUCUAGGAAGGAAGUUUCCUAGUUCUCUGAGUGACUCUGUCAUCAAAAGGAAGAGGAAAGCCAGGAGUCACGGGCAGCCACCUUGUGACUCUGAGAUGAGCUAGCCGUGGGAUGAAGCAGAACCACAGGAGGCAGAGAGGUGAGAAUGAAAUGAACAGGCUCUUUGGUGACAGUGCUGAGCUAAGGGAAGCCUGGCCCAGAUCUGAGUUUUUCAGUAGACCUAAGUCAUUGUAUUGCAUGUAUGGUUUAAAUCACUAUGAGAUGUUGUUGAAACUGAGAACCACCUGAUAUAUGGCUUCUAAUUCUUUUUCACAAUUAAAGGUAAAUUUGCCAGGCAUAGCAGUACAUCCCUAUAAUCCCAGCACUCCAGAGGCUGAGGCAGGAGUAUCAUCAUGAGUUUGAGGCCAGCCCUGGUUACACAGUGAGUUCAAGUAGUCUGAACGACAUACCAAAACCCUGUCUCAAAAAAAAAAAAAAAAAGGUGUAUUGAAGGAGUUUGUCUUAAUAAAUGAACUCAGGAAGAUAGAUGUUGUUUCAUAUUCCCAGAUUUUAUUGUAGAUAAACUAUUUUAAUUUUAUUACUUGUUUGGAAUGAAAUCUUGUACACUUGCAUAUUUUGGAAUCAGAAAGAGAUCUGGAGCUUUGAAGCUGAAAUAUUCCACUCAUAAACUGACAGUCACAUUCUGAGGCCAAAAUAUUCUUCAGCAUUUACCAUGUUUAUACAAUGGCUAUAUAAAGCAGUUGACUGUGUCUACAGAUCAAAACAGAAUUUACUUCCCUUCUCUGCCCCUCACCCCCUCCAGGUUGAACCCAGGGCCUCAUGCAUGCUAGGCAAGCACCCUACUGGCUAUACUGUCAGCCCUAUGAUAUUUUAAGCCCUAUCCUAUGAGCAUGUUGUGAGGAAGCAAUUUGGUAUUCAUCUGAAGUACUUAGCACAAUGUGAGUGCUCAAUUCAGGAUCACUACUAAUACAAACCAUAUCUGAUUGAAGAGUAUUUGUUGGUCUGGGGAUAUAGCUCAGUGGUUCAGCGCCUGCCUGACAAGUGUGAGGUCAUGAGUUUGAUUUCCCUGUACCAAAAAAAAAGAAAGAAAGAAAAAGUAUUUGUUACUCAUAUGGACUUCCUGUGGAAAAGCUGUGAGGUUGAGCCAGGGAGAAGGACAGCCUAAUAGUCAUAUGGUGAAGUCAGGAAGGCUUAUAGCACAAAUACCAAGAUCCUAGAGACAGGAAAAUGUCAAAACCAAAGCCAAAAGUGGCUGCGAUCAGACACCUUGAAGGUGGCAUGGGAAUGGGCCAGAGUAGGUCUCCUAGCCCACAUGGCAAUUCCACUCCAUCCGAAAGAGCUCAGGCUGGGACUUAAGUGGAAAACCUUGAGACACUAGUGUGUUAGUGGCGAAGUCUAGUUACUCACUGAAAUCUUAGUCAAGCACACUUUGUGCUAUACUACAUUCAAUUACAUUUGCAUGGGAAUGUAUUUUUGUUACAUUCAGUACACUUCCUAAAUUACCUAAAAUCCUCCAGUACAAGAGGCAGAGCACCCUCUUCCCACUUCAAAAUGAGCUAAGUGAUUAUCUUGGAGUAGAGGGAAGAUGAACUGGGACUUUUUUAUGUACCUUGUGCAUUCCUCUGAUGGUUGAAGUAUUUCCAAAGUAUGUGUCUCCUUUAGCAUAUCAAG